UUCUGGUAGCAAUUCCUCUGGCUGGGUUGGCAUAGUAAGAGGGUGGGAAGCUGGUGAGGGAUCAUCUGACUUUUUGCUGAGCUAGCAAGUCCUUCUGGCAGGUUGAGUUGUGGGUAAGAAAAUGUUUUGUGUUGCACAGCAACAGCAAGAGCAUAAGUUCCUCUGAAUGGCAACAUGAAAACCAGGUCCGUGGAGGACUGCAGAGUCAUUUUGCUUAAUGGUUGACACAGGAGUUUGAGAGGUCCAAACAUGAGACAUACUUGACAUUCAAACUGCGUCAGUACUAUCUUGGAAACUCGU
Molecule: long non-coding RNA, 300 nt
Organism: Etheostoma cragini (Arkansas darter)
Lineage: Eukaryota; Metazoa; Chordata; Actinopteri; Perciformes; Percidae
Exons: 2
Source: RefSeq, a predicted model, not a curated record